Molecule: microRNA, 22 nt
Filed under: Gallus gallus (chicken)
Lineage: Eukaryota; Metazoa; Chordata; Aves; Galliformes; Phasianidae
Description: gga-miR-6561-3p
Source: miRBase by way of RNAcentral
GGGAGCCCAGAACUGGAAACAG